AGAACGAACGCUGGCGGCAUGCCUAAUACAUGCAAGUCGAACGAACUCUUCGGAGUUAGUGGCGCACGGGUGCGUAACGCGUGGGAAUCUGCCCUUGGGUUCGGAAUAACAGUUGGAAACGACUGCUAAUACCGGAUGAUGACGAAAGUCCAAAGAUUUAUCGCCCAGGGAUGAGCCCGCGUAGGAUUAGCUAGUUGGUGAGGUAAAGGCUCACCAAGGCGACGAUCCUUAGCUGGUCUGAGAGGAUGAUCAGCCACACUGGGACUGAGACACGGCCCAGACUCCUACGGGAGGCAGCAGUAGGGAAUAUUGGACAAUGGGCGAAAGCCUGAUCCAGCAAUGCCGCGUGAGUGAUGAAGGCCUUAGGGUUGUAAAGCUCUUUUACCCGAGAUGAUAAUGACAGUAUCGGAGAAUAAGCCCCGGAUAACUCCGUGCCAGCAGCCG
Molecule: ribosomal RNA, 444 nt
Filed under: uncultured soil bacterium
Lineage: Bacteria
Description: bacterial SSU rRNA
Rfam family: Bacterial small subunit ribosomal RNA
Source: RNAcentral